AUGAGAGGCAUUGAUCCUAAGUUAUCACUAUAAAACGAGUUAAUUGGCUGAUGAGAGGCAUUGACUCUAGGUUAUCACUAUAAAACGAGUUAAUUGGCUGAUGAGAGGCAUUGAUUCUAGAUUAUAACUAUAAAACGAGUUUAUUGGGUGAUGAGAAUCAUUGCUUCCAGGUUAUCACUAUAAAACGUGUUUAUUGGCUGAUGAUAGGAAUUGAUUCUAGGUUAUCACUACAAAACGAGUUUUUGGCUGAUGAGAGGCAUUGAUCCUAUGUUAUCACUAUAAAACGAGUUUAUUGCCUGAUAAGAUGAAUUGAUUCUAGGUUAUCACUAUAAAACGAGUUUAUUGGCUGAUGAGAGGCAUUGAUUCUAGGUUAUCACUAUAAAACGAGUUUAUUGGCUGAUGAGAGGCAUUGACUCUAGGUUAUCACUAUAAAACGAGUUUAUUGGCUGAUGAGAGGCAUUGAUUCUAGAUUAUCACUAUAAAACGAGUUUAUUGGCUGAUAAGAGGCAUUGAUUCUAGGUUAUCACUAUAAAACGAGCUUAUUGGCUGAUGAGAGGUAUUGCUUAUAGUUUAUCACUAUAACACGAUUUUAUUGGCUGAUGAGAGGCAUUGAUUCUAGGGUAUCACUAUAAAACGAGUUUAUUGGCUGAUGAUAGGAAUUGAUUCUAGGUUAUCACUAUAAAACGAGUUUAUUGGCUGAUAAGAGGAAUUGAUUCUAGGUUAUCACUAUAAAACGAGUUUAUUGGCUGGUGAGAGGCAUUGAUUCUAGGUUAUCACUAUAAAACGAGCUUAUUGGCUGAUGAGAGGCAUUGCUUCUAGUUUAUCACUAUAACACGAUUUUAUUGGCUGAUGAGAGGCAUUGAUUCUAGGUUAUCACUAUAAAACGAGUUUAUUGGCUGAUGAGAGGCAUUUAUUCUAGUUUAUCACUAUAAAACGAGUUUAUUGGCUGAUAAGAGGAAUUGAUUCUAGGUUAUCACUAUAAAACGAGUUUAUUGACUGAUGAGAGGCAUUGAUCCUAUGUUAUCACUAUAAAACGAGUUUAUUGGCUGAUGAGAGGAAUUGAUUCUAGGUUAUCACUAUAACUGAAAUUGAAAUAAUACACUCAAUUAAUAUGUCAAAUAAAACAAUGGAAUUGGGCCGUGUUUGUAAUUGAUA
Long non-coding RNA from Mizuhopecten yessoensis (Yesso scallop), 1155 nucleotides. RefSeq lists it as uncharacterized. The transcript has 5 exons. The record is from RefSeq and is a predicted model, not a curated record. Lineage: Eukaryota; Metazoa; Mollusca; Bivalvia; Pectinida; Pectinidae.